UGGUCAACAGAGGGAAGCAAAACCGCGAGGUGGAGCAAAUCCCUAAAAGCCAUCCCAGUUCGGAUCGCAGGCUGCAACCCGCCUGCGUGAAGUCGGAAUCGCUAGUAAUCGCGGAUCAGCAUGCCGCGGUGAAUACGUUCCCGGGCCUUGUACACACCGCCCGUCACACCAUGAGAGUCGGGAACACCCGAAGUCCGUAGUCUAACCGCAAGGGGGACGCGGCCGAAGGUGGGUUCGAUAAUUGGGGUGAAGUCGUAACAAGGUAAC
RNAcentral lists this ribosomal RNA (267 nucleotides) under uncultured bacterium. RNAcentral's name for it is "partial 16S ribosomal RNA". It matches the Rfam family "Bacterial small subunit ribosomal RNA", at positions 1234 to 1500 of the family's 1533-position model. The record is from RNAcentral.